This 433-nucleotide ribosomal RNA is filed under the name uncultured bacterium. Its description in RNAcentral is "partial 16S ribosomal RNA". It matches the Rfam family "Bacterial small subunit ribosomal RNA", at positions 29 to 507 of the family's 1533-position model. The record is from RNAcentral.
AACGAACGCUGGCGGCAGGCCUAACACAUGCAAGUCGUGCGCGCCCUUCGGGGUGAGCGGCGGACGGGUGAGUAACGCGUGGGAACGUGCCCUUUUCUACGGAAUAGCCUCGGGAAACUGAGAGUAAUACCGUAUACGCCCUUUGGGGGAAAGAUUUAUCGGAAAAGGAUCGGCCCGCGUUGGAUUAGGUAGUUGGUGGGGUAAUGGCCUACCAAGCCGACGAUCCAUAGCUGGUUUGAGAGGAUGAUCAGCCACACUGGGACUGAGACACGGCCCAGACUCCUACGGGAGGCAGCAGUGGGGAAUCUUAGACAAUGGGGGCAACCCUGAUCUAGCCAUGCCGCGUGAGUGAUGAAGGCCUUAGGGUUGUAAAGCUCUUUCAGCUGGGAAGAUAAUGACGGUACCAGCAGAAGAAGCCCCGGCUAACUCCGUG